GAUGAAGAACGUAGUGAAAUGCGAUACGUAAUGUGAAUUGCAGAAUUCAGUGAAUCAUCGAAUCUUCGAACGCACAUUGCGCCCGCCAGCACUCUGGCGGGCAUGCCUGUUCGAGCGUCAUUUCAACCAUCAAGCCCCAGGCUUGCGUUGGAGCCCUGCGGCUGCCGCAGCCUCCUAAAAGCAGUGGCGGGCUCGCUAUCACACCGAGUGCAGUAGAUUACUCUUCGCUCAGGGCGUGCAGCGGGUUCCGGCCGUGAAACCCCCUACUUUUAAAGGUUGACCUCGGAUCAGGUAGGAAUACCCGCUGAACUUAAGCAUAUCAAUAAGCGGAGGA
RNAcentral lists this unclassified non-coding RNA (334 nucleotides) under soil metagenome. Its description in RNAcentral is "partial contains 5.8S ribosomal RNA, internal transcribed spacer 2, and large subunit ribosomal RNA". The stretch from base 1 to 120 matches the Rfam family "5.8S ribosomal RNA", at positions 35 to 154 of the family's 154-position model. The record is from RNAcentral.